GCCGGGGUGGUGGAAUGGCAGACACGGAGGACUUAAAAUCCUCUUCCCAAAAGGAGUGCGGGUUCGACUCCCGCCCUCGGCA
This 82-nucleotide transfer RNA is filed under the name bacterium. RNAcentral describes it as "tRNA-Leu". It matches the Rfam family "tRNA". From Rfam's summary of the family: Transfer RNA (tRNA) molecules are approximately 80 nucleotides in length. Their secondary structure includes four short double-helical elements and three loops (D, anti-codon, and T loops). Further hydrogen bonds mediate the characteristic L-shaped molecular structure. tRNAs have two regions of fundamental functional importance: the anti-codon, which is responsible for specific mRNA codon recognition, and the 3' end, to which the tRNAs corresponding amino acid is attached (by aminoacyl-tRNA synthetases). tRNAs cope with the degeneracy of the genetic code in two manners: having more than one tRNA (with a specific anti-codon) for a particular amino acid; and 'wobble' base-pairing, i.e. permitting non-standard base-pairing at the 3rd anti-codon position. The record is from RNAcentral. RNAcentral also lists the same sequence under 3 other names.